RNAcentral lists this non-coding RNA (24 nucleotides) under Arabidopsis thaliana (thale cress). The record is from RNAcentral. Lineage: Eukaryota; Viridiplantae; Streptophyta; Magnoliopsida; Brassicales; Brassicaceae.
ACCCAUCCGCUAGACGGUUAGCCU